RNAcentral lists this ribosomal RNA (475 nucleotides) under uncultured bacterium. RNAcentral's name for it is "bacterial SSU rRNA". It matches the Rfam family "Bacterial small subunit ribosomal RNA", at positions 29 to 498 of the family's 1533-position model. The record is from RNAcentral.
AACGAACGCUGGCGGCGCGCUUAAUACAUGCAAGUCGAACGAGAAGGUGUAGCAAUACACUUGUACAGUGGCGAACGGGUGAGGAAUACAUGGGUAACCUACCCUCGAGUGGGGAACAACCAGCCGAAAGGUUGGCUAAUACCGCGUACGCUUCCGGGUCUUCGGAUUCGGAAGGAAAGUCAUACCGUGGGUAUGACGCUCAAGGAUGGGCUCAUGUCCUAUCAGCUUGUUGGUAGGGAACGGCCUACCAAGGCUCCGACGGGUAGCUGGUCUGAGAGGACGAUCAGCCACACUGGCACUGCGACACGGGCCAGACUCCUACGGGAGGCAGCAGUAAGGAAUAUUGCGCAAUGGGCGAAAGCCUGACGCAGCGACGCCGCGUGGGGGAUGAAGGUCUUCGGAUUGUAAACCCCUUUCGGGAGGGAAAAUGGAACGAGCAAUCGUUCGGAUGGUACCUCCAGAAGCAGCCACGGCU